RNAcentral lists this ribosomal RNA (482 nucleotides) under uncultured bacterium. Its description in RNAcentral is "partial 16S ribosomal RNA". It matches the Rfam family "Bacterial small subunit ribosomal RNA", at positions 28 to 507 of the family's 1533-position model. The record is from RNAcentral.
GAUGAACGCUAGCGGCAGGCCUAAUACAUGCAAGUCGGACGGGAUUCAGGAGCUUGCUUCUGAUGAGAGUGGCGCACGGGUGCGUAACACGUAUGUAACCUACCUUUAUCAGGGGGAUAGCCUCUCGAAAGAGAGAUUAAGCCCGCAUAAAAUCACAGCACAGCAUUGUGUAAUGAUCAAAUAUUUAUAGGAUAAAGAUGGGCAUGCAGAACAUUAGCUAGAUGGCGGGGUAACGGCCCACCAUGGCGACGAUGUUUAGGGGAUCUGAGAGGAUGGCCCCCCACACUGGUACUGAGACACGGACCAGACUCCUACGGGAGGCAGCAGUAAGGAAUAUUGGUCAAUGGGCGGAAGCCUGAACCAGCCAUGCCGCGUGCAGGAAGACGGCCCUACGGGUUGUAAACUGCUUUUAUACGGGAAUAAACCCAGAUACGUGUAUCUGGCUGAAUGUACUGUAAGAAUAAGGAUCGGCUAACUCCGUG